This 253-nucleotide ribosomal RNA is filed under the name uncultured bacterium. RNAcentral's name for it is "partial 16S ribosomal RNA". It matches the Rfam family "Bacterial small subunit ribosomal RNA", at positions 524 to 776 of the family's 1533-position model. The record is from RNAcentral.
UACGAAGGGGGCUAGCGUUGCUCGGAAUUACUGGGCGUAAAGGGAGCGUAGGCGGACAUUUAAGUCAGAGGUGAAAUCCCGGAGCUUAACUUCGGAACUGCCUUUGAUACUGGGUGUCUUGAGUGUGAGAGAGGUAUGUGGAACUCCGAGUGUAGGGGUGAAAUUCGUAGAUAUUCGGAAGAACACCAGUGGCGAAGGCGACAUACUGGCUCAUUACUGACGCUGAGGCUCGAAAGCGUGGGGAGCAAACAGG